GACGAACGCUGGCGGCGUGCUUAACACAUGCAAGUCGAACGGAAAGGCCCCUUUGGGGGUACUCGAGUGGCGCACGGGUGAGUAACACGUGAGUAACCUGCCCUUGACUUCGGGAUAACUUCAGGAAACUGGGGCUAAUACCGGAUAGGAAUCCUUGCUGCAUGGUGGGGGUUGGAAAGCUUCGGCGGUUUUGGAUGGACUCGCGGCUUAUCAGCUUGUUGGUGGGGUAGUGGCUUACCAAGGCUUUGACGGGUAGCCGGCCUGAGAGGGCGACCGGCCACAUUGGGACUGAGAUACGGCCCAGACUCCUACGGGAGGCAGCAGUGGGGAAUAUUGCACAAUGGGCGGAAGCCUGAUGCAGCAACGCCGCGUGCGGGAUGACGGCCUUCGGGUUGUAAACCGCUUUCAGCAGGGGCGAAGCUUGUGGUGACGGUACCUGCAGAUGAAGCACCGGCUAACUACGUG
RNAcentral lists this ribosomal RNA (465 nucleotides) under uncultured bacterium. RNAcentral describes it as "partial 16S ribosomal RNA". It matches the Rfam family "Bacterial small subunit ribosomal RNA", at positions 28 to 507 of the family's 1533-position model. The record is from RNAcentral.